Molecule: long non-coding RNA, 1108 nt
Organism: Oncorhynchus nerka (sockeye salmon)
Lineage: Eukaryota; Metazoa; Chordata; Actinopteri; Salmoniformes; Salmonidae
Exons: 2
Source: RefSeq, a predicted model, not a curated record
AGAAUAGGAAGUUGAAAUUCACGUGAUACAACAACUAAAGUAUUGUGUGUAGGUUUCUAAAUGCAGCUGUAGCUUUAGUAAAAAUUACAAAAAAAAUACAAAAACAAUACUGCAGUUGUGAAUUUAGUGCUGUGUAGGAGGAAACUACUUUCAGUGGAUCUUUCUCACCAUCCAGAGGCCUCAGAAGAAUCCUUGAGGAAACUUCCAGAAACCUCCUUGCUGCUUUAUGAAGUUCUCUCCUGGCCUUAUAUCAGCCUUGACCAGUGGAAGUGAGAGCAGGGACCAGACAGGCUGAGCUGCAGUACCCAGGAGGGAGAGCAGAGGGAGGGAGGAAGGAAGACUGUCGUCGCUGGACACCUGGACCUGGCAGAAACCCCUCAACUCCUCAUAAAUGAAAACUCAGUCAAAAUAUUUUCUGUGACAACAUGCACCACAUGUGGGCCUUUUGUUGGGUAGACUUUUGAGGAAGUCUUGGGGAUUUCUGUACAGCACGUUGAGAUAUCAGCUGAUGUAAGAAGGGCUAUAUAAAUUAAUUUGAUUUGAAUUCAAAUGUGUUCCAAAAAACCCUCCAUUUUGGGUUGUAAACCGGAUAGAGGAGAGAAAAAGCAUACCCAGCAUUCCCUAUGUGGAAUAUCAUGUAUGUACUGAUAACUAUUUUUAUCAGAGAGCACAUGACGAUGCCUUGUCACAAAGCAAAGUUGAGGUAAAUUACAUACUGUACCUGUGCCAAGGUUCUCCUGCUCUUUAGAGGGCGUGGCUGACAGGUAGAUGUAGGACUUGAGCUUUUCCUGCUGAAUGGCCUGCGUGUCGAUGCGUACCGCCUUGUUCAAGGAAACCACCUCGUAUGUGAUAAACAUGCAACCCCUGAGAGAGGAAUGAAGCCAUAGACAAGAUAUACAGUAGUUAGAGCAGAUAGGUCUCCAUACCCAAUGAACCCAAACUAAAAUAACUUAGUAUGGCUGAGUGUUUAUAUGUGAAGUGGUUAUCUUCACCUACCCCAAUAUGACAGCUCCGGUCAUCUUUGCAAUUUUCCCUGAAAUCAAAACAUAAGACAAAUAUGUUAUUUUUUUUAAUAACUAAGGAUAUUAAAGAAUUCCAGAUGAUUACA